UUCAUAACUGUGAAUGCAGUUGCAUUAAGUGCGAGGCUAUUUCCUUCUACAAAACUUUCGAUCUGCAAUUUUAAACACAUUUUGAUUUUAAUAUUGGAGGUGAGUUCCUUUUCGUGGCUUGUAAAGUGGUUAUUUUUGCGAAGUUUUGUUCUUCUCAAAUGUUUACCACUGCUGACAACCGGUUUUCCCGUCGUGAAACUACAUUUAAUACCGGUUUUCAGCUUUAUUUUUAGCGCGAAGUCAUGCUGUUCUGAUCAUUGCACAUCUAUCGGCCCAUUUUGUGGCUGAGAAACUUCGACUUUUAAUGUUGUUUCUGUACCCGUUGAUAUCGCGCAAAUAACAGCAUACUAAAUUUUAACUUGUGGUUAAAUAUAAACAGAUUUAUUGACAGACACAAUUUUGAGUCCAACUGACCCAUGCAACUCAUCGUUUAUUAACAUUUUUGCUUUUGAACCUAUUCAGAUGAGCCAAAAAAUAUACUUGUUUUUCUGAAUAGAUUUGGUCUAACUACCGUGUGAAAAGAACGGUAGGCCCAAAGACAAUUUUUUUCUCCUAAACUAAGCGCAUAAAGAUGUUCUCUCGUUACAUACAUAAAAAAGAUGUCCCAUUGCAAUAAAUACCAAGACAGGCUAAAAGUAAGAUGAACUAAAAUGUGAACCUAUUCAGAUGAGCGGCAGUACACAAAGAUAGUUCAGACACUGGAUUGGACACAAAAAGCUUAUGGAAACACAAUUUUUUUCAACUGAAAUCAACGCAUUCGACUGUUGCCGUUAGUAAAUGAUUCAUUAGCCCAAAAAAAGAGUCAAAUGGAUCCGAAUUUUGGCCAAACGU
Long non-coding RNA from Episyrphus balteatus (marmalade hoverfly), 831 nucleotides. RefSeq lists it as uncharacterized. NCBI's taxonomy places the organism in Eukaryota, Metazoa, Arthropoda, Insecta, Diptera, Syrphidae. The transcript is spliced from 3 exons. The record is from RefSeq and is a predicted model, not a curated record.